UGGGGAAUUUUGGACAAUGGGCGAAAGCCUGAUCCAGCAAUGCCGCGUGUGUGAAGAAGGCCUUCGGGUUGUAAAGCACUUUUGUCCGGAAAGAAAUCCUUGGCUCUAAUACAGUCGGGGGAUGACGGUACCGGAAGAAUAAGCACCGGCUAACUACGUGCCAGCAGCCGCGGUAAUACGUAGGGUGCAAGCGUUAAUCGGAAUUACUGGGCGUAAAGCGUGCGCAGGCGGUUUGCUAAGACCGAUGUGAAAUCCCCGGGCUCAACCUGGGAACUGCAUUGGUGACUGGCAGGCUAGAGUAUGGCAGAGGGGGGUAGAAUUCCACGUGUAGCAGUGAAAUGCGUAGAGAUGUGGAGGAAUACCGAUGGCGAAGGCAGCCCCCUGGGCCAAGUACUGACGCUCAUGCACGAAAGCGUGGGGAGCAAACNGGAUUAAUACCCUGGUAGUCCACGCCCUAAAANGAUGUCAACUAGUUGUUGGGGAUUCAUUUCCUAGUAACGUAGCUAACGCGUGAAGUUGACCGCCUGGGGA
RNAcentral lists this ribosomal RNA (531 nucleotides) under uncultured bacterium. RNAcentral describes it as "partial 16S ribosomal RNA". It matches the Rfam family "Bacterial small subunit ribosomal RNA", at positions 355 to 879 of the family's 1533-position model. The record is from RNAcentral.